This is a non-coding RNA of Tachyglossus aculeatus (Australian echidna), 1219 nucleotides long. NCBI's taxonomy places the organism in Eukaryota, Metazoa, Chordata, Mammalia, Monotremata, Tachyglossidae. The record is from the annotation of a RefSeq genome assembly.
AUGACUGUCCCGUCGCUGUGCUCAUACUCUGAACGUUUCUUCGGAGCCGGGACGCGGCUCACCGUCCUAGAUCCGCUGUAUUUCGGGGCGGGCACCCGCCUCUCCGUUCUGGCCCAAGCCCUGAAUUUUGGGCCCGGGAGCCGGGUGAUCGUCCUGGGUAAGCGGUGUUGGGGAGGGCGAUGGGGGGCUCCGGGGGUCGGGAGUGGGCGGGGAGGGAAGGGGGAAGACGAGGACGAGCCCCGGGCGGUCCAGGUACCUGGGCUGGGGUCGGGAAAGUCGGACCCCGGGGGUGGGGACCGAUGUCCCGGGCCGGAGAUUUUGUUGGAGGCAGCGUCUCUGUGCUCCUCAUACGAGCAGCACUUCGGACCCGGAACCCACCUCACGGUCAUCGAUGACUUGCAAAAGGUGAAGCUCCCGAAGGUGACUCUGUUUGACCCAUCCGAGGAGGAGAUCAAUGAGUUGGGGAAGGCCACCUUGGUCUGCCUGGCCACGGGCUUCUUCCCCGACCACGUGGAGAUGAGCUGGUGGGUGGACGGCCGGGAGAUGCAGGACGGGGUCAGCACGGAUGCCCAGCCCUUGAAUGAGACCGAACCCGAGGCUUCGAACAGGACCUAUGCCCUGAGCAGUCGCCUCCGCGUCUCAGCGGGCUUCUGGCAGAACCCCUGGCGCCGCUUCCGCUGCCAGGUCCGCUUCUAUGGGCUCAAGGACAGUGACACAUGGAUUGACAGCACCCGGCCCAAACCCGUCACUCAGAACAUCAGCGCCGAGACCUGGGGAAAAGCAGACUGUGGAAUCACCGCAGCAUCCUACCAGAAGAGCAUCCAGUCAGCCACCUUCCUCUACGAGAUCCUCUUGGGGAAGGCCUUGGUCUAUGCAGUGUUGGUCAGCACCCUGGUGUGGAAGGCCAAGGCCAAAAAACAUGCUUUGUAAGGUGAUCGCAGCACCUCGUUCUCUCCCUUGGCAAUGGAAGAAGGAGAAGAGUCCUGGACAAUCCCUCCAGAACCCAGCUCUAAUCCCCCUCCCCCAAAGCCCUUUUCCCCGAAUCCCAGCUAUUAUCCCACCCCCAGCCCAGACCCAUCUCCCAGCAGAGUACGACUGUUCACCUGUCCAUCUGUCCUCUUGCCUAUCUGUCUGUCUGCCUGCCUGUCCAUCUGUCCACCUGUUUGUCCAUCAGGAGGUGAUAAAUUCUGACACAAAUAAAGAGAUCUUGGCUGACUCA